Long non-coding RNA from Monomorium pharaonis (pharaoh ant), 2122 nucleotides. RefSeq lists it as uncharacterized. The transcript has 2 exons. NCBI's taxonomy places the organism in Eukaryota, Metazoa, Arthropoda, Insecta, Hymenoptera, Formicidae. The record is from RefSeq and is a predicted model, not a curated record.
UAGGCAUAAUUAACAUCCGGCCGAAGGACGACCAAGGCCGUGACCACACCCUGGCGGAGGGGAGAUACACCGACCUGGCGACCGUGAUAAACCGACGGUAGCCAUUGGACCUGCACCGAUCCGCGACCUGUCCGUGGCCAUCGAGAGGAUGCAGCCGACGCCGAGGACGCAGCCCGAAGGCCGAGCGACCGAGGAGACGACACCGACGGCCGCGCCAAGGAAGGCGACGCCGACGCCGAUAGCCGAAGGAGCGGACACCACCGAGAUAGCAUCGGAGACGCAGUCAACCAAUGUGACAGCGCGCGAGUGCGAUAGUGACAAUGACAUUCCGCCCGCGUCACAGUUUGUCACACUGUGAAGUGACAUUAAAAGUAUAUAUUAUAGUAUUUGUGUUAAUCAAAGAUAUUGUUUAGUUUAUUUUAUAUGUAUUAGUUAUAAGCAUUAUUGUAACAUUUACGCAACCGCCGCGACCGCAACGAGUAGCGCGAUGUAACCGCGAAGAGUGUCGUGAGAAUGGGAAUGCGUGUGUGAAAGAGCGCGUGUAAAUAAGCCGCGUGUAAAAAUAUAUAUAUACGUACACGUUAGUACGGUCAUUGUGAUAAUAAAAAAAUAUUUUUUUUUUUUUUUUUUUUGUUAAUACGCACGAAGUCGCAAUGCGAAUGCGCCACGAAUUAGGUUCUCUAGAAUAAAGAUUUUGUAAUAUAUUAAAUAAUAGCAUGUUAAACUGUAAUAGUUUAUUUCCUUGUAAAACACGUCGUAUUUAUAUUAUUAUUUAGUUCAGAUCGACAAGCGAACGAGCCGACCACGAACCGCGAACGGGCACGAGGCACCGGAGCGAUAGGCAACCCGCCGAGCGCGAGUUUUGACAGGUGCAGGUUAGGAUGCCCAUGGACGCGAGACACAUACUUUAAUAUGUACGCGAGACGCGUACAUCAGUCGAUUUCCAUCGAGAUUCCACGCUUGCUGGCAUUGUAUUUGCAUAUCCGGUGGAUGAAUAUAGCAUACCACAUAAUUAUAAUUAUUUCUAUUGAUUACCAGCCAGUUGGAAUCGCGACAAUAACCUGGGAGGUAUACGACGCGUUAAUCGAGCAUAAUCUUUAAUUUCUUAUUGAUUUGUAUUGAUUUCCAUUGAUUUUCAUUAAUUAUUACAUUUAGAAGCGUUUCAAAGCGUGCGAGUUAUGCGCGAGCACAGGUCUGUGAAUUCAGAUUAAUGUUUAUUUCAUAUUACGUAUACAACGAUUAAAUUCGUGUUUAUUCUUUUAAUUACAGUUAGUUAGAGCCAAUUAACUCUUAAUUUGCAAGAUGCGCGUAAAUAAUUAAGCGCAUAUUAAGAUUACUAAAGCUUAAGCCCCAUUUGCGAGGCAGACCAGAACAGACCAGGGGCUCGAUUCUUGAAUUUAUUCGCAAGAGAAACGUAUUCGCAAAUUCUGUUCUUACAGAAAAGUUAGAAAUUUAUUGGCUAUCGUAUGGCUAUUAACCAAUAAACUUACAACUUUCUGUUAGAGCGAGUAUUUGCGUAUACGUUUUUCUUGCGAAUGACUUCAAGAACCGGGCCUCUGAGCUCGAAUAUAGAUUUACGAACGCCGCUUGCCAUGAGAAUUCGAGAUCCCCAUCGCAUCGCGCAUGCGAGCUAUGGUGUGCAAGCGAGAAGGGAGACUGUGCGAGUGAGAUAACCACUCGAGGUUCCCCGAUUAGUGGAGACAACCGCGAUAGCAACAACGGCUCAAUCGGAGAAUCUCGAGAGGGGGAAUGUGUGGGAAACGGCACGCUGGAAGCGUUACUAAAAAAGUCUGCAUCGAGAUCUCAAGGGAGACGGACGUGUGUGCGAGGGUCUGUCUUCCCGCGCGAUUUCGCGAUCGAUUAACGAUCAAUUAGAAGUGCGUAGGCAGUAACGGGCGCGACACGACGUGUACGCGAUACUACCCGCGAGCCUCGCCGGCAGGCUAUUUCCGCGUGAUAAUAUUCGCGAACGCGUUAAAUAUCACGAAGGUCGAGACACGUUGUGCGAGAGGCGUGUCGAGACAAAGAAACCGCGACACAUGCGUAGGCGAUAUUAAAGCCAUUGCGUAAAUGUGCGUGUGAGUGAUUAUAAUAAAUAAAACGAGUUGUGUGAUACAUGUGA